AUUGUGUAAUACUUUUUUAUUUGUCUGUUGCACAAUCUAUUUGCUGAUACUUGUUUCUUUCCCUCCCUCCCUCUCCCCUAGGCUAUCAAACAAAGCUGCCCAACCUUACACUCAUCCAUCAACCUCGAGUUAUUAAGAGAAUAACUGCAGAACAUUUACAAGUGGAUGGGAUGGAGUCCUGGCUGCUUUUCAAGAACACGGAGUCAGUGCUUUGCAAAAAACUUUGCAAGAUGGCAAAUUUUCUCAUGCUGCCUGUUCCUUGCUCUGCUGGGACCUGCUGGAAGGAAUGGUGUCUUCAGUUUAGGACUAGAGCAGUGACUUUCCAGGCCAAACCAGGAACAGUUGCAAGAUUUUUCUACAGAGGGACCAUUCACAUAAAAUAAAUGCAUUGGGCAUCUGUAAGAAACAGAGCAGACAAUUCUUGAAAGCAAAAACUCUCGGCUGACAUCUUGGCUGGAAUUAAAAGUCCUGUUGUGUGAUGCUGAAAAACUUCAACAACCCUCUGCUGGAAGCUGUUUGGGAGAAAACGAAGUUCUAGUUCUCUUUCUCCCUCCCUCAUUUUUAAGGUGAAUUUAACUGUGUUAGAGGGAGCCAAACUGAGACCAUGAUGAUGGAAUGAUCCAGUGCUUCUCGGAGAUUGCAAACCCCACCUUGCUGUCUGUUGUUGGUGGGCACAAUCCGUCCUCAGACAGAUGGUUUCUGUGGGUCACCAUCAGAGCUGUGAACUCACAACGACGUACCGUCCCGAUCAGAGUGCAUUAAAACCAUGAAACACUUGAACAUAAAACCCAUAAAUCUUGAUUUGCCAUCAUCAGUCCCCUGAAGCAGCUGGUGCUGGCAGAACAGCUCUUUUCAAACGGCAGAGCAGCUGCUCAGCUGGUGUAAAUCAGCACAGGACCUUGUAGAAGGAGGAGUAGAAGUAGAAAAAUAGAAGUAGAAAAACAGUGGUACUGCUUAAAGGUUGUGUUUUCAAGAGAUCAGUGAGUAACUAAAAGUUUAACAUGCCCGCUGGGAAGGGUAUAAAAGAAGAGUCUAAUUUGCAGAAAAGAAGAUUUAAAUUAUAUCUGGAAAAAAAAGAAAAAAAGAUAUUUAGUGGCUUAGCACCAGGCAGGCGACGUUGCAGAUCUUCACUGGAGGUUUGUAAGAACUGAAUAAUUAGACCAACAUGUGUCACACAUGGGUGGAUCCUGUUCUGGUGAAGUGGAUGGGUUCUGGAGAUCUCUUCAGCGCUUGCACAGCAUGGAGCAAUGGACCUCGCCGUUGACACUGGUACGGGAUUAGCAAAACACCUUUGGCUCCUGGCUUUGGGAUCAAGAGGGGCCAGAAGAUUUGCAGGUCGCUUCCAUCCCAUGUGUUAACCUUCGUCUUACUCAGCCAAAGCUG
RNAcentral lists this long non-coding RNA (1383 nucleotides) under Calidris pugnax (ruff). Its description in RNAcentral is "lncRNA (ENSCPUG00000006372.1)". Lineage: Eukaryota; Metazoa; Chordata; Aves; Charadriiformes; Scolopacidae. The record is from RNAcentral.